This 253-nucleotide ribosomal RNA is filed under the name uncultured bacterium. RNAcentral's name for it is "partial 16S ribosomal RNA". It matches the Rfam family "Bacterial small subunit ribosomal RNA", at positions 524 to 776 of the family's 1533-position model. The record is from RNAcentral.
UACAGAGGGGGCAAGCGUUAUUCGGAAUUAUUGGGCGUAAAGGGCGCGUAGGCGGCUUGGCAAGUGGAAGGUGAAAUCCCUCGGCUUAACCGAGGAACUGCCCUCCAAACUGCUUCGCUUGAGACCGGGAGAGGUGAGUGGAAUUCCCAGUGUAGCGGUGAAAUGCGUAGAUAUUGGGAGGAACACCAGUGGCGAAGGCGGCUCACUGGACCGGCAUUGACGCUGAUGAGCGAAAGCUAGGGGAGCAAACGGG